AAGUGUGGCCGUAUCACCUUGGCAAAGCCUGAUCUGGUCUGAUCUCAAAAGCUAAGCGGGAUUGGACCUGGUUAGCACUUGGAUUGAGAGCGCUGCAGUGGCUCUAGUGCACACUGC
RNAcentral lists this ribosomal RNA (117 nucleotides) under Periophthalmus magnuspinnatus. The record is from RNAcentral. Lineage: Eukaryota; Metazoa; Chordata; Actinopteri; Gobiiformes; Gobiidae.